UUCAACAUCGGCUUCUUCCCGCGAAACUCAGUGCAAAAGGAACAAGCGCCCCAUUGCCGAUUUCCAGCGUGAGUCACCUUUUUCUUCGCACGUGGCUUGCGUUGCUUGGGCACCCGUGAUUGGUGGAGUGGAGUCUACAACUCCCUGCACAGCGAUCAACCCUGGAAAGGGUGCGCCUCGGGUUCUCGACAGCCCGGGAAAGCUGAAAUUUCUUGUUUCGCGACUGCCGUCGCGCACUCUGGAGCCGCCGCAUUGAGCUCAUUCUCCACCGACUAAGGGGCCAGCGUGCCUACGAAGCGAUGGCCUCAACAGCGCUUUCUGCUGCGGAGCUGGAGGCGCAGUUCGCCAACGCCAAGGCAUACCUCAUGCGGGCGGACAAGGAUGGCGUGAGCGCCUAUGACCAGCUCACACGCCUCAUGGAGCUUCUUCUUGAGGAGAACCCUGAGAACGUUGCAGGCGAUCCUUCAAAGCUGCACGAGAUCUUAAGCUUCAUCCAGACGCACAGCUUCGCGUGCGGCGAGAGUACCUCUGCGUGCUAUGAGGCUACACAGGUGCCUGCCGAGGAGCUCCGGCGCUUCGAGGACAACAAGAAGCUCUUUGAUCUCCCAGCCCCGGAGGUGCGCACCGUCAUCGAGCAGCCUGAUCCGUACACGACCAUUACCACCACCACCGUGGUGCCGCUGAAGGCGCCGUCCUUCGAAUCUGUUGCGGCUCAAAACAAGUACUGGACGGCCGCGGGCUGCGGCCUCGCCGACGAGGAAGCAUUCCUACUUGACCGCUCCAUCACCAACCUCGCCAUGGAGAAGAACCUGCAGGACAUCAAGUUCUUUGGUAAGAUUUUUGGCACACAUAGCGACUACUUUGUUCUCCGCACGCGGCGCUACCUCGAGGCGGGCGAAACCGUAUACGUGGAAACCAACACGAUGGGAAAGCCGCCGCGAAAGAAGGGCAUGGUGCCCGUGCAGGCUGAGCCAGGGUACGUCGGGGUGAAUCGCUACACGUUCUGGGUAACCGCAUCGCCCUCCGACAAGUGGGAGAAGCUGCCGGAUGUAACGCCGCAGCAGAUCAACGCGGCCCGCGAAACGAAGCGCUUUUUUACUGGAGACUUGUCAGCGUCUGUUGCGGCAACGUUUCCAUGGGGAGAGGCCGCGUACCUGCGAGCACAGCUGGCGCGCAUCACCAGCAGCACAACCAUUGCUCCCCAAGGCGCGCUGGAAGAGCCAGAGCCGGAACAGGAAACUGAAGAGGACGAGGAUGAGGACGCAGAGGAUGGCGCGCAGCGGAAGCCGAAGGAGGCCAAGUACAAACCGCUGGUAGUCCCCUCGCCAGAUUACGGCGAGGAAGAGGUGGAUGUGGCGCAGCUGACGAUAGACCGCUGGGUACACGCGGAGGGGUACAUUUACAAGAACGGUCGACAAACAAAGGUGCCGGAGAAGCCUGAGCCAGAGGAGGGGGAGGGGGAGGGGGAGGAGGAGGCCGAACCUGAGCCGGCCGAACCCGAGGCCGAUGCUCAGGGCGAAGAGGAGGAGGAGGAGGGGGAGCCGGAGGAGGAUGAAGAAGUGGAGCUCUUUGCUCCUAUCCAGAACGACCACCUCUACGGCGUCGUCGACAUCCCGCAGCCGCCGCCAGCCAUAAACGACGAGGACGAAGAGGAGGAGGAGGAGCCCGAGGAGGAGGGCGAGGAGGAGCGCGGGGAGCCGGAUAACACGCCACUGAAGCCUUUGCGCGACGAUGACGUCCCAGAUGACGACCCGACAAAGAUGAAGAUUGCAUGCUGGACGAUGCGCGUGGAGAACAAUGUUAGCAAGGCUCACCGCAUGGCGGUGGUGCAAUCCCUUCGCUGGCCCGGCGCCACUGCAUACGCGGCUGAGGGCGGCAAGCGCUGGUCUUGCGUGUACUUUGGCAACGGCAUGAAGAAGACGGAUGCGGCCUUCACACCACCGCCCGCUCCCCCCGUGCAAUCAGAGUGCGCCGACAUCACAGAGGUGGAAGAUCCAACCGCCACUGUGGAGAAGCUCGUUCGGCGCGGCGAGGAAAUCCCGGAAGCCGACAGCGAGGCGGAGCCGGAUGAGCUGGAGGAAGAGGAGGACAGCUAAAGGAGGUUCCGCGGGUGCGCGCGUAUCCACCCCCCUUUCCCUUUCCUCCAUCGGCCGCACAUUUCCAGAUACCCUCCUCAUGGAUGUAAUUCAAGCAUGAAGAGUGGACAGUGGCCUCCUUGCCUUUCCUCCCCGAUGGAGAGAGGCUCCAAUGGACUCUCUUGCUGUAUGUACUCGUUUCUUUUCGUCUUUGCAUGUAUGAUUCAAGAUGUUCUGUCGACAUUUUAC
This 2324-nucleotide unclassified non-coding RNA is filed under the name Leishmania donovani. RNAcentral's name for it is "gene:LdHU3.13.0440(CDS-product:flagellar_radial_s poke_protein_putative)". Lineage: Eukaryota; Euglenozoa; Kinetoplastea; Trypanosomatida; Trypanosomatidae. The record is from RNAcentral.